AAUAAGAUUUCAUGGAAUAUGAAAAAUGUUUAAAUAAACAUGUUGUAUAAGAAUGAAUAGAAGAUAUAACUUAGUUAGAAUAAAUGUGAAAUAUUGCAUUAUAAAAUAAACUAUGACCAAAGUUUAGGCAAACAUAUAAAUGGAGGGGCUAAACAUGUACAAGGAAAAAGAUAUUUACUAAAAGCAAAAUAAGGAAAAACAAACACACACAUCUGGCGUGUGUGUGUGUGUCGCCCCAAGCAGGAGAAAAAGAGGAGAAACCCUAAAAUCCUUGAAGUUGCAAAAUUGAGAAGGGAAAUUGAAGCUAAUCAUAUGCAUGAAUCUGAAUGUACAACCAUUUAAGCCUACUAAUCAAGUGGCAUAGGGAUCAUGUGGAAAUGGACUCAAGAACGGAAGGUUAACGGGUCAAGCGGAGGCGAGGAAGCAAGCAUGAACACUAACGCUCGAGGUAUACAAAUAAUGGAAGUUGUAGGUUUGACACUAAAAUCCAAUGAUGGUGUUCGAAUGGAUGGAUGAAUGGAUUAACAUAAGCGAAAGCAUGAGAUGUCGACGCCUAACUAUGUAUGUUUAAAACUUAUGUAUGAUGUGACUGGUUGCUAACGAUGUGAUUGUAUGUGGUGUCUACAGGUUGCGUGGAUUUAGCAUCAUUAUGAAGGAUAGAAAGAUUGAAGAUCGAGUCAAGAGCAAAGGAUUGUACGGGAAAGAUCGGUCACAUAGUUUAGCAAAUGUAGGUCCGAAGUAUUAAUAUAAUGGAACGUGGUAAAUCCUUUUUAAUGAAUGUAUGACAUUUGAUAUUCGAACUUUCCUGUAAGUACUAUGUCUAUUAAAGAACGAAAUUUUUGGGUUCAUA
Molecule: long non-coding RNA, 850 nt
Organism: Helianthus annuus (common sunflower)
Lineage: Eukaryota; Viridiplantae; Streptophyta; Magnoliopsida; Asterales; Asteraceae
Exons: 3
Source: RefSeq, a predicted model, not a curated record